ACCGGAGGCCCCGUGGCAGGAGCUGGACUCUGCCCUGCGCCGAGCUUUGCACCCAGCAAACAACAACAGGAAGGAAAAAAAAAAAGGGAAGAGAGAGAGAGAGAAAGAGAGAGAGAGACUUUUUAGUAAUUAGUGCGACAUAAUUGAGUAAUGCGGUAGCUCCUUUCCCCCCCCCCCCCCUCCCCUCCACACACCCUUUCUUUCCCACCUCCCCCCUGCUCUUCUUCUUCCCCGAUCGAUGCAAUAUCAUUAGGGUGAGAGGCAUUGGGGCAGCGCUCGAGGGGACCGAACCUCUCCCGGUACCGGGGGGUCCCGUCGGUCGUCUCUCCGUCCCCACCGGCCCGACCCGGCAGCGCCCCGAAGCCGCGGGGAUGGGCGCGAGGUUCGGUGCCCCGUCUCGAAGCCGGUUCCUCUCCCCAUCUUCCCAUCCAUUCGACAGCUGGAUGCUAUUGAUCCCUUCCCUCUCCUCCUUUUUUUUCCUUUUUUUUUUUUCCCUUUCCCGAGCUCCCUCUCCUCUCUAAUUCCCUCCGUUCCUCCGGAGGAGCCGCCCGGUGCCGGGGGAAGAGCCCGAAAGGCAAAACGACGCUGCCCCAAAUAAGAGGCGGAGGAGAACCUACGGGUGAGAUUUAUGGCAUCCGACGAACCAGGUACAGCAGCAGGGGAUUUUUGUGCCACGGGUUUUGUUUGUGCCACGCACGGGCGGGAGCCGCGCAGCCCCCGCACCGCCCCGCACGCACUUCCCCUAUAGGCGACCAACUUCCUUAAAGUUCUUUAAGGCUUCCAACCAAGAGCCCCAUCGCCUGGCAGGUGAAUUAUUCAGUGCCUAUGGAUUCCUCGCGAGCCCUUUCAUUCCGGUCCCAAAUCUUUCCCAGCCCACCCUUUGCCUAUGGAUGUCUCGAUUUUACAACAAUCAAGCGGGAGGCGAAGAGCGUGGCAAUUUCUGCUAAUCGAUUUUCCAUACAAUGGGCCCCAGAUGAUGUUUUAAAAUGUGAGAAACUCAAAUGUGUUGGUUUAAAUAAGACUUUUGCAAUCGAUAGCUUUUAAAAGAAGAGACUUUGAUACCUCUUCUGGAAGGGGAUUUCGAACGCUUUCGCUUCCCGAACAAAACAAGGCAGGAAAAUCCUAAAUAAUAAUAAUAAUAGGAAGAAAUAAAUCCGAAGUUUCUCCUG
Tympanuchus pallidicinctus (lesser prairie-chicken) is the source of this 1169-nucleotide long non-coding RNA. RefSeq lists it as uncharacterized. The transcript has 2 exons. Lineage: Eukaryota; Metazoa; Chordata; Aves; Galliformes; Phasianidae. The record is from RefSeq and is a predicted model, not a curated record.